This 484-nucleotide ribosomal RNA is filed under the name uncultured bacterium. RNAcentral describes it as "partial 16S ribosomal RNA". It matches the Rfam family "Bacterial small subunit ribosomal RNA", at positions 30 to 507 of the family's 1533-position model. The record is from RNAcentral.
AUUGAACGCUGGCGGCAGGCCUAACACAUGCAAGUCGAGCGGAUGAAGGGAGCUUGCUCCUGGAUUCAGCGGCGGACGGGUGAGUAAUGCCUAGGAAUCUGCCUGGUAGUGGGGGAUAACGUCCGGAAACGGGCGCUAAUACCGCAUACGUCCUGAGGGAGAAAGUGGGGGAUCUUCGGACCUCACGCUAUCAGAUGAGCCUAGGUCGGAUUAGCUAGUUGGUGGGGUAAAGGCCUACCAAGGCGACGAUCCGUAACUGGUCUGAGAGGAUGAUCAGUCACACUGGAACUGGGACACGGUCCAGAUUCCUAGGGGAGGCAGCAGUGGGGAAUAUUGGACAAUGGGCGAAAGCCUGAUCCAGCCAUGCCGCGUGUGUGAAGAAGGUCUUCGGAUUGUAAAGCACUUUAAGUUGGGAGGAAGGGCAGUAAGUUAAUACCUUGCUGUUUUGACGUUACCAACAGAAUAAGCACCGGCUAACUUCGUG